This 305-nucleotide ribosomal RNA is filed under the name uncultured bacterium. Its description in RNAcentral is "partial 16S ribosomal RNA". It matches the Rfam family "Bacterial small subunit ribosomal RNA", at positions 337 to 658 of the family's 1533-position model. The record is from RNAcentral.
CCCUACGGGGGGCAGCAGUGGGGGAUAUUGCACAAUGGGGGGAACCCUGAUGCAGCGACGCCGCGUGAGCGAAGAAGUACCUCGGUAUGUAAAGCUCUAUCAGCAGGGAAGAAAAUGACGGUACCUGACUAAGAAGCCCCGGCUAACUACGUGCCAGCAGCCGCGGUAAUACGUAGGGGGCAAGCGUUAUCCGGAUUUACUGGGUGUAAAGGGAGCGUAGGUGGCAUGGCAAGCCAGAAGUGAAAACCCGGGGCUUAACCCCGCGGAUUGCUUUUGGAACUGUCAGGCUGGAGUGCAGGAGGGGG